This 210-nucleotide unclassified non-coding RNA is filed under the name Hevea brasiliensis (rubber tree). The record is from RNAcentral. Lineage: Eukaryota; Viridiplantae; Streptophyta; Magnoliopsida; Malpighiales; Euphorbiaceae.
AUAUGUACUGAUGCAUAAUCAGCACUUAUAGAAUAAAUAAUAUAGUUAAUAAUCAUUCAAUUGGCAUGCCUUCAUUUUAACUUCAUUUAAAAAUAUUAAUUCAACAUUAAUAAUGUACUAAUUUGUGGUGGAGAAUAGUACUUUUCCCUAGUCCUGGCAAAUGAAAAGAGUGAGAGAGAUUAGAGAAUACCCUUCUUUCCCAGUAAGGAU